This is a long non-coding RNA of Coccinella septempunctata (seven-spotted ladybird), 513 nucleotides long. RefSeq lists it as uncharacterized. The record is from RefSeq and is a predicted model, not a curated record. NCBI's taxonomy places the organism in Eukaryota, Metazoa, Arthropoda, Insecta, Coleoptera, Coccinellidae. The transcript is spliced from 3 exons.
GUCACGAGUAGUACGUUAGAAAGAGAUGGACAUAUGGUAGAAAAUGUCAAAAUCAUAUGUUUAUUGUUUACUGUUCAGCUACUGUGUUUUCAAUCGAUAUUUCAUUCUCGUCACAAACAAUUUAGCAGAAAUCUAGGUUUUUAGAAUCGACUGCUACAUGCUAAUAAAGCGAAAGUGAUUUAUUUUUGGAAAUAAUAGACCAAUGAAGGAGUUUCUUUGUUAUUUCAUGUAUGUACAUAUAGGACAUGAUUUACAAAGAUUUACAAGGAAUAUACCUAGUCUACUUUCUAUAUUUCAUAAGGCCACAGCAAGAAUUUGUAGAGGCAUGUCCGAAGAAAAUACUUAACUCUAAUCUGGAUUCAAUAUUAGGAAGAGAAAAGAUUGUCACAGAAAUCUAACACUGGAAAGCCACACGAUAAAGAAACAGGAGCAGUAAAAUAUUACUGCCAGGAGUGCCAGAGAAGAGCAACUAAACCACCUGAUGGAGAACCUAUCAAAAUAAUUGAAAAAAAA